Molecule: ribosomal RNA, 252 nt
Filed under: uncultured bacterium
Lineage: Bacteria
Description: partial 16S ribosomal RNA
Rfam family: Bacterial small subunit ribosomal RNA
Source: RNAcentral
UACAGAGGAUGCAAGCGUUAUCCGGAAUGAUUGGGCGUAAAGCGUCUGUAGGUGGCUUUUUAAGUCCGCCGUCAAAUCCCAGGGCUCAACUCUGGACAGGCGGUGGAAACUACCAAGCUGGAGUACGGUAGGGGCAGAGGGAAUUUCCGGUGGAGCGGUGAAAUGCGUAGAGAUCCGGAGGAACACCGACGGCGCAGGCAGCGUCCUGGCCGAUACUGACACUGAGGAGCGAAAGCGUGGGGAGCGAACAGG